UUAGCAGCCCCUUUAUUGCACUCGAACCUCUGGCGACGGAAAAGCCACCGCCCCCACCCCAAACUGCGAGCCGCGCUCCUGGCGCACCCGCCUCCCACCGGCUUGGCUGCAAAAACAGCACCCGCCCGGAGGUCUCGGUCUCUCCGACCCGGGAUGUGAAGCCCGAAAGGGUGGCGGGAACCCCAGCCUGGGAGGGACGCGGCCGCCGCGCGGGCCAGAUCCCCUCAUCCAGGCCACCUUUGGAAACGGGCCCAACUGCCCCGCCAACCUUUUCCCAGCCCAGUGGUCCCACCCCUACCUCCACUGCUGGAAAACCCCAUAGGGGUGGGGCUGGAAUCUUCUGGACUCCUGGGAGCCCAAUCCGCUUGCCUCUUGUACCCCUCUUGCAGAGCAAUGAUCCGAUGGGGUGCCAGGCAUUAGAACCCUUCCCUCCAAUCCUCACCAUGUCUCCAUUUUGCCAAAGAAGAAACUGAGGUUAAGGUCGCGAUGCCCUGGCCAGCACCAAAGGUGGGAUUUGAACGCAGAUCGCGUUUGGAGCGGCUCUAGUGUUUAAGCCACACGGUAUGACAUUGGACUGGUGAAUCGGGCCCUCGCAGGGCCUGGAGUAACCUAAGCCGAGAGGAGUUGGGCCGAAUCUCCAGGUGUUCCUUUCUUUCUGUCCUACGAAAGCUUUGGAAUUCUUAUUUUCAGGUAAACGAUUUUGGCAGUGCCCGGAGAAGGACAGAAGUAAGACCCAAGGAGGAACUUCCUGCAAGCUACGGGAGACCCCCUGGGGCGAUGAGGCAUGGGCAGCCAAGGGAGCAGCAGCCAUCGACCUUGGAUCUGUUUUUCCUCAAGAGUCUGUCCUAUGGGGCCCGGGGCCCAGUAUCCAGCCGCAAUCCUGGACCCAGGGGGAGAAGGGACUUGGGGAGGAGGGCAAACCCUCCCGCCCCCGGCCCGGGACCGACGGCAGCCCUAGCCAGUCCCCGCUCUCUCCCUCUCCAGGGGCCUCUCUGUGAGGUCGGGUCUUCCUAGCUGCAGAGCGUGGGGGGCUGGCUGCAGGGCAGCAGAGUGGUAGCCAGGGCCUGGGACCCUCUGGUUGGUCAAGGAGGGGCUGGAGUCUGGCUCCCAGUGACCCAGUCCCCAGUCACAGCCGUGGGGUCGCACGUGGUGGCGAAGACAGGCCACGGGUCCCUCGCCACAAGUCCCAUUACGUUGUAUUUAUGUUUCACUUUAUUGUUUUUUUCCUCCUCCCUUAUUAUUGUCUCACUCUGGGGGAGGCAAAGGAUAUAAUAUAUUCAUCUUUAUUAUACCAAAUCUGUGUGAAGCAUUUAAUAAAACGCUGUUUCCACACAGCCAGGGAUA
This is an RNA transcript of Callithrix jacchus (white-tufted-ear marmoset), 1344 nucleotides long. RefSeq lists it as uncharacterized. The record is from RefSeq and is a predicted model, not a curated record. NCBI's taxonomy places the organism in Eukaryota, Metazoa, Chordata, Mammalia, Primates, Cebidae.